Molecule: long non-coding RNA, 319 nt
Filed under: Vigna radiata
Lineage: Eukaryota; Viridiplantae; Streptophyta; Magnoliopsida; Fabales; Fabaceae
Description: long non-coding RNA (VRAD_LNC009866)
Source: RNAcentral
GGGGUUGCCAGGUAACAAGCCGCUUCUCUAGGCAUUGAGCAAUCAAAAGAAAAAGCAAGUGAAAGGCAAAGGCAAAAGAAAAGAAAAGAAAAAUCAAGAGAAAAUAAAGAGCUCACUACAAGGGAAGGCUGGGAAAAAGAAAGAGAGUUGUUCUUAAAGGAUAAAUUUCUAAAUGUCUCUCUUAACUCAAAGAACUUUGCUGACCAGAAAAACCAAUUUCUUUCUUAGCCCAACCAAGUUACAAGCCAUGAAAAGCCCUUGUUAUGAUAACCUGCUUAUGAGUAUGUUUGAUUGUGGUUAAAUGAAGGGUAAAAUUAAU